AUUUAAUGAGAAACAAACCAAAAUUUAUAAAAAGUUACCGAAAAUUUAUAAAAAAGUGAAGGGAUUUGUAGAAAUUCAUGAAUUUCUGUGAAGAUUUGUAACUUUGAUCGAUAUUGUUAAUGUAAGUUAAGUUGAUUAUGUAGUGGAUUACAAUUUUAUAUGUAAAAAUUUGCUUGCUUUUGCGUGUUCCGAAUUUAAUUUUUGGUGGUUAGCUUCGGUCUCGCCAUCAUGUUCGCUCUUGUGUUUCUUUGACCAUUCUUGGGACAUUGAAUUGCCGAUAAGGAGAGUGAAUUAACUCCAGGAUUUAAUUGUCGAGCAAAUUCACAGCAUUUAUGGGGAUUCUGUGGACGUAAACGUUUUGGGUUGCGAUUGAUAUAGCAUUACGCUCUCUACAAUCUGGAAAACCAUAGCAUAAGUUUUUUUUGCUUUGUCUACUUUGGCUUUUGUGUUCUUCAACUCAAUUAAUAAAUUUUGAGAACUUAAUGAUUCGAAAUUUUGUUUAUUGGGCAUUUGGUAUGACCAUUGUUUAAUACUUCCUUUGAUUUUUUCCUUCUCACAGGACAUGCAAGACAUGAGAAAUUGCUAUGAUAGCUUACUUUCUG
Molecule: unclassified non-coding RNA, 602 nt
Filed under: Hevea brasiliensis (rubber tree)
Lineage: Eukaryota; Viridiplantae; Streptophyta; Magnoliopsida; Malpighiales; Euphorbiaceae
Source: RNAcentral